This 547-nucleotide unclassified non-coding RNA is filed under the name Hevea brasiliensis (rubber tree). Lineage: Eukaryota; Viridiplantae; Streptophyta; Magnoliopsida; Malpighiales; Euphorbiaceae. The record is from RNAcentral.
AAUCUUCAAAGUAACGGCCAUUACCAUUAUUUAAUGGCCGUUAUCAUUACCGUUAUGUAACAGCGUAACGGCUGCAACUCCUUGUGUGCCUGCAAAUAAUGGCCUCAUGGGUAACGGCACCCUUCAAAACUUGUAAAUAAUAGCCGUUACAUUACAUAACGGACAUUGUUUGAAACCAUGAGUAAGAGUAUGACAUAGGACAGCAUGGGACAGCUUGUAAGACUGAAUAUUAAGGCUGGAUUUUGGGUUAUUUGAAAGUUAAAAUUAUUAGAAAUAUAGGUGGACAAUUAGGGUUUGUAAAAAGGUGGGAUUGAGAAGUGAAAACAAACAUUCAACUGUGGCAUUGCACUAUCACUGCAGUUUCUUGUCCAAAGAAAGUCAUCAACGUUGCAAUUAGUGAAACGUUUCAAAGGGUAAAAGUGAGCAAAGCAAACAAUGGAAAAGUAAGAAUCAAAACAAGAAGGAUUUUUUUUUAAGGGCUCAAUGACCAAAAAAAAUGUUAAUCUUUGGGUGUUUUCGAAUUAUAUCAGAGCUUUUUAACUGGGAA